RNAcentral lists this transfer RNA (72 nucleotides) under Ipomoea nil (Japanese morning glory). It matches the Rfam family "tRNA". Rfam says of the family: Transfer RNA (tRNA) molecules are approximately 80 nucleotides in length. Their secondary structure includes four short double-helical elements and three loops (D, anti-codon, and T loops). Further hydrogen bonds mediate the characteristic L-shaped molecular structure. tRNAs have two regions of fundamental functional importance: the anti-codon, which is responsible for specific mRNA codon recognition, and the 3' end, to which the tRNAs corresponding amino acid is attached (by aminoacyl-tRNA synthetases). tRNAs cope with the degeneracy of the genetic code in two manners: having more than one tRNA (with a specific anti-codon) for a particular amino acid; and 'wobble' base-pairing, i.e. permitting non-standard base-pairing at the 3rd anti-codon position. The record is from Rfam by way of RNAcentral. Lineage: Eukaryota; Viridiplantae; Streptophyta; Magnoliopsida; Solanales; Convolvulaceae.
GCCCUUAUAGCUCAGUGGUAGAGUGUUAGUUUUGUAAACUGAAGGUCUGUAGUUCGAUCCUCCAUGAGGGCA